AUUAAACGCUGGCGGCAUGCCUUACACAUGCAAGUCGAACGGCAGCACGGGGGCAACCCUGGUGGCGAGUGGCGGACGGGUGAGUAAAGCAUCGGAACGUAUCCUGGAGUGGGGGAUAACGUAGCGAAAGUUACGCUAAUACCGCAUAUUCUGUGAGCAGGAAAGCAGGGGAUCGCAAGACCUUGCGCUCUGGGAGCGGCCGAUGUCGGAUUAGCUAGUUGGUGGGGUAAAGGCCUACCAAGGCGACGAUCCGUAGCGGGUCUGAGAGGAUGAUCCGCCACACUGGGACUGAGACACGGCCCAGACUCCUACGGGAGGCAGCAGUGGGGAAUUUUGGACAAUGGGCGGAAGCCUGAUCCAGCCAUGCCGCGUGAGUGAAGAAGGCCUUCGGGUUGU
RNAcentral lists this ribosomal RNA (396 nucleotides) under uncultured bacterium. Its description in RNAcentral is "bacterial SSU rRNA". It matches the Rfam family "Bacterial small subunit ribosomal RNA", at positions 29 to 426 of the family's 1533-position model. The record is from RNAcentral.